Molecule: ribosomal RNA, 381 nt
Filed under: uncultured marine Chaetocerotaceae
Lineage: Eukaryota; Bacillariophyta; Thalassiosirophyceae; Chaetocerotales; Chaetocerotaceae
Description: SSU rRNA
Rfam family: Eukaryotic small subunit ribosomal RNA
Source: RNAcentral
AGCUCCAAUAGCGUAUAUUAAAGUUGCUGCAGUUAAAAAGCUCGUAGUUGCAUUUCCGAGGCAAGGGAUUAGUCCGACCUUUGGUGGGUAUUUAAUCCUCUUGCCUCGUCCUUGAGUGGUGCUUCUUGGUAUUAAGUUAUCGAGGAGAUAGCCGCUCAUCGUUUACUGUGAGAAAAUUAGAGUGUUCAAAGCAGGCUUAUGCCGUUGAAUAUAUUAGCAUGGAAUAAUAAGAUAGGACCUCUGUACUAUUGUGUUGGUUUGAGAACCAAGGUAAUGAUGAAUAGGGACAGUUGGGGGUAUUCGUAUUCAGUUGUCAGAGGUGAAAUUCUUAGAUUUACGGAAGACGAACUACUGCGAAAGCAUUUACCAAGGAUGUUUUCA